This 482-nucleotide ribosomal RNA is filed under the name uncultured bacterium. Its description in RNAcentral is "partial 16S ribosomal RNA". It matches the Rfam family "Bacterial small subunit ribosomal RNA", at positions 30 to 507 of the family's 1533-position model. The record is from RNAcentral.
AUUGAACGCUGGCGGCAUGCUCUACACAUGCAAGUCGAACGGUAACAGGCCGCAAGGUGCUGACGAGUGGCGAACGGGUGAGUAAUGCAUCGGAACGUGCCCAGUCGUGGGGGAUAACUACUCGAAAGAGUAGCUAAUACCGCAUACGAUCUAUGGAUGAAAGCGGGGGACCGUAAGGCCUCGCGCGAUUGGAGCGGCCGAUGUCAGAUUAGGUAGGUGGUAGGGUAAAGGCUCACCAAGCCAACGAUCUGUAGCUGGUCUGAGAGGACGACCAGCCACACUGGAACUGAGACACGGCCCAGACUCCUACGGGAGGCAGCAGUGGGGAAUUUUGGACAAUGGGCGCAAGCCUGAUCCAGCAAUGCCGCGUGCAGGAAGAAGGCCUUCGGGUUGUAAACUGCUUUUGUACGGAACGAAACGGCUCUGGUUAAUACCCGGGGCUAAUGACGGUACCGUAAGAAUAAGCACCGGCUAACUACGUG